GAUGAACGCUGACAGAAUGCUUAACACAUGCAAGUCGAUGGGGAAGUGGUGCUUGCACCAUGGCAACCAUGGCGGACGGGUGAGUAACGCGUAAGGGACUUACCUGCAGGACUGGGGUAACAGGGGGAAACUCCUGACAAGACCGGAUAAUGUCAUGGAGCUGCAUGGCUUUAUGAUGAAAGGAGACGCCUGCGGAGAGCCUUGCGUCCUAUUAGCUAGUUGGUGAGGUAAUGGCUCACCAAGGCGAAGAUAGGUAGCCGGCCUGAGAGGGUGGACGGCCACAAGGGGACUGAGAUACGGCCCUUACUCCUACGGGAGGCAGCAGUGGGGAAUAUUGGACAAUGGGGGCAACCCUGAUCCAGCAAUUCUGUGUGCACGAAGAAGGUUUUCGGAUUGUAAAGUGCUUUCAGCAGGGAAGAAGUAAGUGACGGUACCUGCAGAAGAAGCGACGGCUAAAUACGUG
This 463-nucleotide ribosomal RNA is filed under the name uncultured bacterium. Its description in RNAcentral is "partial 16S ribosomal RNA". It matches the Rfam family "Bacterial small subunit ribosomal RNA", at positions 28 to 507 of the family's 1533-position model. The record is from RNAcentral.